CUUCUCACCCUCAGCGCCCGAUGCCGGUAGAACUGGUGCGCGGCUCGCCCCUCCCCCAAACUUCCUGAGAACUCUUCAAAGAGGGUUGUGAUUUGAAGAGUAACCUUCUUCAGAAAACUGUGGAGACUUCACAGAAAUGGCAGAAGCUAGUUGAAGUCUACAAAUUACCUAAUGGAACAGGUGUUAUUCCCAUGAGAUUCCCAAAUAAACUUCCUGCAUGCAAAUCUCCAUCUCAGCAUCUGUUUCCCUGAGGAGGAACCAACCUAAGAUGAAUUGCAAAUUAAAAUCUCAAAGUGAGUCAAAGCAACCAGAAUUUCCCUUCCCAAGGAGUAUCAGCUGUGACCCUUAUGAUGGUUGAGGAAAGUUAUCACACCCUUUCUGUCCCUACAACUCAAAUGAAGAUCUAAAACAUUUUCAGCACUUCAGAAGUUUUCCUGGGGCCCUAUCCUGGAUAGUAACCUUCCCUACCCCCUACAAAUAAGUGAAUAAGACAGAGACCGUGUCCUAGCUUUCAUGGAACUUAUGACCUACUGAGGAAUGCAAAUUGUUUAGUUAAGUAAACAAUUACACAAAUGAUUGUUUAUUAAUAAUUGAUAUUACUAUUACAACGGAAAACUCAAAGUAUGAAAAGAGAAAUGUAAUUAGUUUGGUAAAACUGAGAAAAGACAAAUCUGAAGAAGUAAUCUUUAAUGCGAAGAAUGAGUAGGAGUUAGUUAGGCAAAGAGAAUAGGGAGGAAAGAGCAUCCCGAGGAGAGGAAAUAGUAUGUGGCUUGAGUAGGAAAACAGCUUCAAGGAAAUAAAAAAUAAAAAUACUGUUGGUAAGCAGAAAAGAGGUAAUGCAGGAAACUGGAGGAACAGGCAGGAGCCAGUCCCUGCAGGGCCUUAUAAACUGGUUAAGGAUGUGUGUUUUAAUCUAAUUGUAAUGGAAAACUACUCCAUGGCUUGAAAGGAAAGUGCAUUUUUAAAUGAUCAUUGUGGACCACUGUGAAGAUAAUGCAUUGUUGAGAAGACAGAAUUGAAGUUGGAAGCCACUUUUAGGCUAUUGUAAGAGAUGAUGAUGACUUGGACUAUAAAAGCGGCUUUGAAACAAAAAUACACGGGAAAUUAAAGAUGCAGUUUGAAAGUUGCAUCCACUGGAUUCAAUGACUGAUGGGAUGAGAAGGAACUGGGCAACCAAAUUCUGGCUGGUAUGGAGUGCCUGAGCAGUAGUGCACAAAGAGGAGACACAGAAAAACAAAUACUCCAUGGUCUUCCAAAAGUAUUCUAUGGAGCUAGGUUUCUCCAGGUGAGGGCAUGUCGGUGAUGAAACUAUCACUACUGUUCAAGGUGCCAGCAGUUUGACUUACCAUCGCUUUUGUACAAUCAUCACUACAUGUCAGCGUGGGAAAAAGAAUAAAAUAACAUCUUAAUAUUAUUAUGAAAACAGUUUUGGCCUCAUGGACCCCUUGAAAACCUAUCAGGUUAACUGCAGACCACAGUUUGACGCUUUUAAUGUAUCCUAGAGGAUAUCCUUCUUUGUGUUACUGUGGGGUACCCAUUGUCGUUGAAAUUUGUUUGAUAAUCCCCCUUUUUACCUCUCUUCUGUCAUCACCUUGAAUCACAACUUGCAUUUUUUAUUAUUAUGGUUAUCUUUUUACAUGCUCGGCUUGGCUACCCCAAUAGAUAGUAUAGUGCCUUGUUACCCAAAAUAUGGGCCGUGGACCAAUAGCAUCAGCAUCACCUAGGAGCUUUGAAAAAAAUGCAGAAAUUCAGGCCUUCUUCCAGUACUACUGAAUCACAAACUGCAUUUUGUUGUUGUUGUUGUUGUUGUUGUUGUUGUUGUUGUUGAGACGGAGUCUCGCUCUGUCGCCCAGGCUGGAGUACAUUGGCGCGAUCUCUGCUCACCACAAGCUCCGCCUCCUGGGUUCACGUCAUUCUCCUGCCUCAGCCUCUCCAGUAGCUGGGACUACAGGCACCCACCACCACGCCCGGCUAAUUUUUUGUAUUUUUAGUAGAGACGAGGUUUCACCGUGUUAGCCAGGAUGGUCUCCAUCUCCUGACCUCGUGAUCCGCCCGCCUCGGCCUCCCAAAGUGCUGGGAUUACAGGCGUGAGCCACCGCACCCGGCCCACAGGCUGCAUUUUAAUAACACUCUCUGGUGAUUUGUACGCUUGUGUGUUGGAGACCUAUUAUAUUUGCCUAACUGUCGUUCUCUGCUUCAGGAAAUCUGUCAUUUGUCUAUUUCAGGAAAUGCUCUGACUCCAACACAUAAGGUUGGUUGCAUUUUCCCUGAUACAGAAGUGGGUGUAUAACUAAGUUAAGCUAUUUAGAGUAUGCUAUCCCUGUAAACAGAGUAAUUUGUCCAUUGCUGGGCAUGUGUAAGCAAGACAAAUCAGAGUCCAUUUUUUCAGAAUAAUAUGGGUGGUGGGAGAAAGGAACUGCUCCUCUCUCUGGGAUUAUUAGCUGUAUGGAUAAUGCAAAUCCAAAAAUUGCUGUGGCCAUCUUUGCUGCAACAUAAAGGAAAGUUCUCUGAAGUGAUUCCAGAAAAGAGGAGGACAGAAGUCAGAGAUGGAGAGAGAUAGACCCUUGAUGACAUCAAAUGAGCCUCUGGAUCCAGCUCUGCCUGAAGUCAUCUGCCCCAUGAUUUUCAGUAAUGUGAAUCAACAACAUAUUCUGCUUUUCUAGCUAAUGUUAGUUUGAAUCGGGUUUCUGUUCCUUGCAACCAAGGGUUUUGACAUAAGACGAAAAACUCUGUGGGGACCUAUGUAUCAUUUAUAUUUUUUGUAAUCUUCAAAAUACCUAGCAAGUGCCUUAAAUUUAAUGAUCACCAUUGUUCACCAUCUCAGCUCAUUUUAUUGAGUCCCCUAUUUUAUACCUUUCUGAUAUGCAUAUUGGAAUAUGUCAACCCUGGCUUAAAUGCUUCAACUCUUCCUUACCAUGGAGGUGUACAGUGCUGUUUAAAACGUUCUUCACAGUAUAGCUAUACCCACCUUCACAGGCUUAUCUGUCAGUUCCUCUCUACUGGUGCCAUUCACCUCAUUUGCUGGGUCUUGAAGAAGCCCUAGCAUUUCUUGACACCAAGCAUUUACAUAUGCUGUUCCCACUAUACCUUGGCUAUCUAACUGAUGAACUCCUAUGUGGUUUGAAGGAGACUUUUCAAAGAUCACCUUCUUUGUAAAGGUUUUCUUAAUGCCCAAUUAUUUUACUCCCUGAGAUUAUACUCCUGUGUUCUUCAUCAAGCCUUUACAAACUAUAUUAAAUUUCUUGGACAUUUCUCAGUGUUGCCUGUAAGAUUAUGAACCUGUUAAAUUCAGAGACAUCUUUCAUCCCUGUAUUCUCAUAUUUGAUAUAGAAAUCCGACACUUACCAUGAGCCCUUUAAAUGUUUAUUAAAAGCAAAAAUAACUAAAAAUGACAAAAGAAUUUUAGUCAUUACUCUUGGGCUCUGCCAUUUAUUUGCUCUUUGACCAGGGCCAAAUAAUUUAUGCUACUGAAAUACCGUAUUUCUUCAUCUAUAAAAUUAGGAUAAUAUUGUCCACCUUGCCUGGUAUGAUAAUUCUAUGGAAUUACAGGCAGAAAAACAGUCUCCCCUCAAAGAUGUCUACACCUUAAUCUCUGGAACCUGCUAAUAUGUUGUGUUACAUGGCAGAAGGGGCUUGCAGACUUAGUGAAAUUUACAGAUCUUGAUAUGGUGAGAUUAUUCUGUAUUAUCAGGCAGGGUUCAGGCAAAGCACAUGAGCUCUUAAAAUAGUUUUUUUUUUUUUUCCAGGCAGAGAACAGAGGAGAGAUGAGGCAAAAGGGAAUAUUAGACAGAUUCAAAGCUUGAAAAGGACUUGAUCCACUAUGAGGCCAUUAAUGAAGGAAUGCAGGCUGCCUGUAACAGUUGAAAAUCACCCCAGCCAACACCCAGCAAGGAAAUGGAGACCAUAGUCCUCUAACUGUAUGGAACUGAAUUCUGCCAACAAAGUGAAUAAGAUGGGAAGUGAAGACCCUCCCAGAGCCUCCAGAAAGGAAGAGAGCCAUUCAGACACCUUGAUUUCAGCCUUCUGAAACUUGGAGCAGACAGCCGGCUGUGUCAACCUGAACCUGGGCUUUUAACCUACAAAACUGAGAAAUAAUGAAUAGUGAUUUUUUUUUUUUAAGAUGGAGUCUCGCUCCGUCACCCAGGCUGGAGUGCAGUGGCACGGAAUAGUGAUUGUUUUAAGCCACUAAAUUUAUGGUAGUUUUGUUAGGGCAGCAAUAGAAAACUAAUACAUAUGUAAUAUAGCAUUUUAUAAACUAAAAUGUCAGGCAAAUAUGUGCUCUUAUAAUUUGAUAUUGCUAUCUAUUAGAGACAUUGGGUUAAAGAAUAUACUGAACCAAUGUUGUAUUUAUUAUAAGAAAGAUAAGGGUGGGAGAUGGAAAAAAUGAUGUUAAACUCAUGAAUUUAGUUUGCUUUGCAAAUGUUUAACUUUGAGGUUGCUUUUUUCCAGAUCCCUGGAGAUUUGGCCUUUCGGCAUACAGAGAGGUUUUAUUAAAGCUGAAGUCCCUUGUAAAAGCUUUUAAUAGCUUUCUUUAAAAAAAUCACCUAAACCCUCUGUUCUGUGCUAUUCCUCUAAAUGCAAGAAAGCACAAAGAUACUGAAGAAACACAGAGACAAAAUUAAAUCAGGGGCUCUCCUAGCUCCUCCAUUAUUCAAAGCACUUAGUGGACUAUAAAUGAUUUAGAAGUGAUACAACUAGACUUUUCAGAGUAAAUAGUUUUCAUUUUCCUGAUUGGUAAUCAGGAGAAAGAAGAUUCCAUAUUCCCAUCAGCAGAGAUUUAGAAUUAUCUUUUGCCAAAAAUGAAAGAGCUCUUUCUUCCCGUGUAGUCCAUUUAAAUAUAUAUAUAUAUGUGAAGGUGAAUCAAAAGAAAAAGAAAACAGAUUACAACUUUAUUACUGCCCUUAUUGGACACUUAUACCAGCAGGCUAGCAGACACUGCACAGAAUAUAGAAAUGAGACUCUGAGUACAUGAUCUAUAAUGAAAAUGAAGCCAAUCAGAAUCUAAUAUUACUACAAGGUUGAAAUAAAAGCUAUGGUAUUUCUCAUAACUGCACUUGGCACUUAGAGAAAUUGAGACUCACAACAUGCUUCAUAAACAUUAAUUAAUUACUCUGGGCUUACAUUUAAUUCUUCCAGUGUAUAGAACGUAUGUACAGAAGAUGAAAGAGUCAGCCAUAACCUGGUGCUCAUUGUACUUCCAGAUUGUAGGAUCAGCUAAUAAUAAUCACAAUAGUAGCUGACACUUGUAAUCUUCAGAACACCCUUUAAGCAUUUAUUAAUCAACUAUUGCGCCAUCUCAAGGGAAAGAUAAAUAUUAUUCUUCUCAUUUAUAACCCAUAAAAUUGUGGCUUCAAGUGGAACAGUUUUGCCCAGGAUUCCCCCAAAAAACCCCAAGUGGAGAUUAGAGAAUUAGAAUCCCUCUAUAUACAUACCAUAAAUGUUCAAUACCACAUUAUGAGAGAAGUCUUAAAACAGUGAAAUUGACAGACAGCAUUGAUUACUAUAGAAAAAGUCCUAGGGUACAUCCAAGAAAGAGAAAAAAAAGGUUGACAAAUUGGAAAGGAAAGUUGAUGCACUCCCAGAGAAAAUCUCCUACUCAAAGAGUUUCCUUUGACUGCAACACAUGAUUUUCUGAUUCCUCCAGAACACUCAGUUCUGGAAUGGUCACUAAACAGGUUUGAGAUGAGGGUAAAAAAAAAAUCCAGCCAAAAGGCCCACAUAGGAACUCACAGAUAUAUCUGACUGGCCCACAUAGUGUUUUUAUUUUUAAUGAACAUAAAUAGGGUGCAGCCACACUUGCCCAUGCCCCACUGCAUAUGAGACAAUGCAUUUGACACUGGUGGUUGUUAAUAUGUAUAGACUAUACUACUGAGAGAUGCCUUGUACACCCAGAAUCACCACCAGCUCAGAGCAUAUAAUGCUCCUUUCUUUCUACCAUUCUCAAAACAAAAAGUUGAGUGAGAGUACUAGAGUAUCCCCAACCUACUGCCAUUGUGGUGGUUUUUCUCUCUGUUCUUUGUCCUACCUCCUAUUUUGCUUCCUUUCCAGCCCAAGUCUUUCCACCUUGUAUCUGGCCUUUUUACUCCCAAUUCAGAGCUUUCAUCCUGACAUCUCCGUCUGCUGGGAAAGUUCUUAUCCUUAUAUCUCAUACCCUUUUGACCUAAAGAAUUGUUUAGGCCCCAAAUCUCUCAAAUAUGUAUCUAAUCAAAUGCUGUUCCCACCUCCUGUGACCCCUUAGUCUGCUUUAUGUUUUUUCAUGGUAAUUAUAACUCCCGAAAUUACAUUAUAUGUUUGUUUGUUUAGUUUUUCAUCAACUGAAUCUACCACUAGAACAUAAAUUUCUUGAGUGCAGGCCUGUUUUCUUUUCCACUGAAGUACCUAGUUCAGCGCCUUCCUCAGAAGAGGCAUGAGGCAAUAUUAGUGAAUCAGUGAAUUAAUCAUGCACAGAUUUCCAUGUCAAUACAUAUAUAUGUCUUCAUUAUUAUCUUAAUAGCUGCAUAAUAUUUCACUAAUAUCCACAUUUAUUUAAACAGUAUAUUGUUUUUGGAAAUUGGGGUUGUUUCCACUUUCUUCCUUUAAAAUAGCAUAACAUGAGGACUAUGACAGGGAGGGCAGAGUAGAAAGAAGGAAGGGAUCAGGGUUAGAGAAAUAAACCCAACCUCUUUCUUGGUAAUCAGGGGCUACUCUGCUUCCUACAACCCAACUGAUUCCUAGUGACAAGAUCUCUUAAACCUGGGUUCCUGCAGCAGUUGGCCCCUGUCAGAGGCCUUCUUGCGUUUACUUGGUUGGCAUGUCUAGCUGUCUAGGCUCCAGUUCCUGCUUAAAGACUAUGAGGUACAGAACUAAGUGCAUGAAGCAUAUCCUCUAUUAAUGUUAAGUCCCUUCCUACUCCUAUUGUUCAAAGGGGAAGGUGCUAAAUUUGUUCUUCCUGUACCCUUCGGUUUCAUUCUGUGUCUUAGUCCUUUGGAGAUAAUUGGGGUAGAGUACUACAUACUAUAAUUUAGGAUAGUGGGUUUUUGUUUUGUUUUGUUUUUGAGAAUGAGUCUCACUCUGUCACCCAGGCUGGAGGGCAGUGGCUUGAUCAUGGCUCACUGCAACCUCCGCCUCCCGGGUUCAAGUGAUUCUCCUGCCUCAGCCUCCCAAGUAGCUGGAUUACAGGCAUGCACCACCAUGCCCAGCUAAUUUUUGUAUUUUCAGUAGAGACGGGGUUUCACUAUGUUGGCCAGGCUGGUCUGGAACUCCUGACCUCAGGUGAUCCGCCCGCCUUGGCCUCCCAAAGUGCUGGGAUGACAGGUGUGAGACCUCGUGCCCGGCCUAGGAUAGUGUAUUGAUGCAAGAGGUUUUGAGUGUCCAAAUAAUUAUCUGCUGAAUUUGGAACCUUUAGGAAAGAUUAUCUAGAACUGUAAUUUCAAAUACACCUCUGGGAGGGGCUGGAGAAGUUAGGAGGCAAAGUGAGGGUGUUCACAAGUCAAAUCAGUCAAAUUAUCUGGAAAAUUCAGAGUGCUAAAUUUACAGAGUUACCCAAUGCGCUAUUCUUCCCCACUUUCUCACUUAUAGUAUAUAGACUCAGCCAUAAGUAUACUUAAGGCCUGUCCUAAUUUCUACCCUCAGUUUCUUGACUGCAACUCAGCAUGGGAGUUAACUGACUGAAGGUUAACACUCAGACUGGGUCCGUAUUUCUCUGAGAAUAGAUUUUGAUCUUCCAUUGCUAAGAGACCUCCCCAUUCCACAAUGUAUACUAACCUAUAGCUCUGUUCUUCUUAUAAUUAUAAAAUGCAAGAUGGCGGGGUCUAUUUCCUAGAGGCAAACAGUAUUAAUCUGCAUACCUGAAAUGCUUUCUCAAUAUGUAUUUUUUGUAAAAGCAUCUGUAGGUUUUGUCAUAAACACAUAGUGUUAAGGAAGCUAAAUUAAUUACAUGCACUUUAAUAUUGAAAGUACAAAAUAACAAACCUUACCAAGAAUGCAUAUUUUAUCUGUCUUGGUGAAAGGAAGGACAGAUGAAAGAAAAGUGUGUACUUAAGUAUGCACUUAAUAGUGUGGAUAGUGAGGGGCAAACGUGUGGAUGAAAAAUGAAUGCUAAAGUCGAUAUUUUUGAAAUAAAUGAAGUAGAAACAUUUGUAGCUAAAACACAAGUAUAAUCUCAGCAACUACUGAAACAAAUAUCAUCACUAAUAUAUUUCUGGAGGCUCACAAAAAAUAUAAUCAAUUUUUCAGUUCAUAAAAUUUCAAAAAAUUGAAUUUACAUUUGCUAAACCAAUUAACAAAUUCUAAUUUACACAGUGUUGAUGCUUCUAAUUGGCAGCCGUGCAUUUUUAUGAGUCUUCCUGUUAAUCUCUUAUGGUAAUCAAACUCACAAAUUUAAAAUUCAUUGGUGUUCUUGAUACAUGUAACUAGUUAAAAUUCUUAAUUAAAUUAGGGUGACUAAAAGAAAAGUCGUUUUAAAAGUAAAAUCAUAAAGUGUUAUGACUAAUGCUGUACAAAUUAGCAUAAGGUAGGUUUGGGGAGAAUCAUUCUGAAGACUUUGCAAUUAGGAGCACCUGCUAUUAGUGCACUUGUUAAACUUUUAUCAAUUAAUCAUUACUCUCAAAUAGCAAGAAAAAUUGAAUGUUGUGAAUAUGAAGAGAGUGAUUAAUUGCAAGUGGUAAAUUGCUGACUGGUUCCAUUAUUACCUGUACUUUAAGAAUUUUUAGAAAUAAAUGUCUAUUAUCAGUUUUAUGAAUAC
Molecule: long non-coding RNA, 8722 nt
Organism: Pan troglodytes (chimpanzee)
Lineage: Eukaryota; Metazoa; Chordata; Mammalia; Primates; Hominidae
Exons: 7
Source: RefSeq, a predicted model, not a curated record